RNAcentral lists this ribosomal RNA (501 nucleotides) under uncultured Actinomycetes bacterium. RNAcentral's name for it is "bacterial SSU rRNA". It matches the Rfam family "Bacterial small subunit ribosomal RNA", at positions 385 to 896 of the family's 1533-position model. Lineage: Bacteria; Bacillati; Actinomycetota; Actinomycetes. The record is from RNAcentral.
GAUCCAGCAACGCCGCGUGAGGGAUGACGGCCUUCGGGUUGUAAACCUCUUUCAGCAGGGACGAAGCGAAAGUGACGGUACCUGCAGAAGAAGCACCGGCCAACUACGUGCCAGCAGCCGCGGUAAUACGUAGGGUGCGAGCGUUGUCCGGAAUUAUUGGGCGUAAAGGGCUCGUAGGCGGUCUGUUGCGUCGGGAGUGAAAACUCAGGGCUUAACCCUGAGCCUGCUUCCGAUACGGGCAGACUAGAGGUAUGCAGGGGAGAACGGAAUUCCUGGUGUAGCGGUGAAAUGCGCAGAUAUCAGGAGGAACACCGGUGGCGAAGGCGGUUCUCUGGGCAUUACCUGACGCUGAGGAGCGAAAGUGUGGGGAGCGAACAGGAUUAGAUGCCCUGGUAGUCCACACCGUAAACGUUGGGCGCUAGGUGUGGGACUCAUUCCACGAGUUCCGUGCCGCAGCUAACGCAUUAAGCGCCCCGCCUGGGGAGUACGGCCGCAAGGCUA